GAGGAAUAUUGGUCAAUGGGCGAGAGCCUGAACCAGCCAAAUCGCGUGAAGGAAGACUGCCUUAUGGGUUGUAAACUUCUUUUAUACAGGAAUAAAAAAGGGGACGUGUCCCUUAUUGCAUGUACUGUAUGAAUAAGCAUCGGCUAACUCCGUGCCAGCAGCCGCGGUAAUACGGAGGAUGCGAGCGUUAUCCGGAUUUUUUGGGUUUAAAGGGUGCGCAGGCGGGCUUUUAAGUCAGCGGUGAAAUCUCGGGGCUUAACUCCGAAACUGCCGUUGAAACGGGGGGUAUGGAGUAUGGAUGAAGUAGGCGGAAUUGCUUGUGUAGCGGUGACAUGAAUAGAUAUCACGAGGAACUCCGAUUGCGCAGGCAGCUUACCAAGCCGUAACUGACGCUCAAGCACGAAGGCGUGGGGAUCAAACA
RNAcentral lists this ribosomal RNA (421 nucleotides) under uncultured Dysgonomonas sp. RNAcentral's name for it is "bacterial SSU rRNA". It matches the Rfam family "Bacterial small subunit ribosomal RNA", at positions 356 to 774 of the family's 1533-position model. The record is from RNAcentral. Lineage: Bacteria; Pseudomonadati; Bacteroidota; Bacteroidia; Bacteroidales; Dysgonomonadaceae.